UAACAAUAGAACAGCAGUUGUUAUCAAUCCACCAAAAACUGGACAGUUGGUAGCAGUAACACAACAAGUUUUGAGUGCACGUGCACUCAUCCUGCCUCAUCAUCUCUAUUCCUUUUCCCAGUCCAACUCGACUCAACAUAAUCCCUCUCAGACUAUUUUUCCCCACUAUCCUUUUUUCUGUCUCUAGUUUCAAAUUCACACUG
This is a non-coding RNA of Caenorhabditis elegans, 203 nucleotides long. Lineage: Eukaryota; Metazoa; Nematoda; Chromadorea; Rhabditida; Rhabditidae. The record is from Ensembl.